GUCUAUGGCCAUACUACCCUGAAUGUGCCUGAUCUCAUCUGAUCUCAGAAGCUAAGCAGGGUCGGGCCUGGUUAGAACUUGGAUGGGAGAAUAUAAAUUUGUAUUACUAAGUAUGCAGUACACA
This 124-nucleotide ribosomal RNA is filed under the name Castor canadensis (American beaver). The record is from RNAcentral. Lineage: Eukaryota; Metazoa; Chordata; Mammalia; Rodentia; Castoridae.